Long non-coding RNA from Tarenaya hassleriana, 1281 nucleotides. RefSeq lists it as uncharacterized. The transcript has 6 exons. NCBI's taxonomy places the organism in Eukaryota, Viridiplantae, Streptophyta, Magnoliopsida, Brassicales, Cleomaceae. The record is from RefSeq and is a predicted model, not a curated record.
CUACUUAGGAUCCAUUACCCCGCGACAGGUCUUGUUUGGGUCACAUAAAUCGUUUAUUAAAAAAUAAAUAAAUAAUUAACGCGAGACGUAAAGGAAGCAGGCGAGAAAGAGAGCAAAACCCUCAAUUUCGAACCUGAUCAGAAGGUUCUUCUUCUUCUUCUUCUUCUUCUCCGCUCGAUCGAUUCCGGUUUCCCGAAUGCUUGAAGAAAUUCCUCUCCGAAUCCGAAUCUGAGUUGGUGUGAUUCGCUUGCGACUGAUGUUUGGGGGAAAAUGGAGUUUUCUCAUGGCGCCAUUGCAAAUUUCAUUUUCCGAUAGAGUUCUGUUUUGUUAUCCGAAGAUGAAGAAACCGGUGUUGAAAUCAAUAAUCUUUGAUCCAAGAGGCGUCCACUUGGGAAGGUUCUUUUGUUCGGACAGUAGAUCUCACUUGUAUGUGCUGUUUGUCCUAUUGGUGGAGAAAAGGGAUUUGGAUGCUAGUUUACCAGAUAGGGAGGGAAUUUUUACUGCCUGUAGGAUGACUGAUCAUUUUCUCUUUUGGACCUCAUGUUCUCUGAACUCUGAAGUAUGCUCAUUUGCUUGAGGUGUGAUUCUGGUGAAAUUAGAAAAUGUAAGACCUGAGAAUGAAUGAAGAAGAAAAUUAGCACACCAUGGAAGAUGAGGAAAGUUGAAGAAUCAAGACGAAGGAAACGCCUGCAAAAACAGGCUGACGGCCAGGAAAAUGGGAAUCUCGAAAUACAUUCACGAAAUCAGCAAAUCAGAGAUUCAGAGGUCAGCAAAGUGGCAGCUCUAUAGCUCAAAAGAGGAAAAUAAUCGUCCUAAAUGCCACAAAGUAAGGAUCCUCAAGUAUUGAUCUUGUUCUGGCAUAUAUACGAUUUCCACCCAAAGAAAUUGUUUGAAGGAGUGAACGUUGAAGAAGUUGAAUUCAUCAAUGAGAGGCUUAAAGACAAGUCAUAUUAGGCAAAGGAUGCUGGAGAUUCUGGCUAUGGAGCCAAAGCUCAAGGGGUUCUGUGACUAGUCAGGGGAAAGUAUUCCGACUGAGUAGAAGCGAUGAAGCUGCACGAUCUGCAUUCGCAUUCGAUAAAGGACCAACCCAGUUCGUAUCCCAUCUAGUGGGGUGCUGGGGAAGGGAAUAUAUUAGGCCGCCUUAUCCCCACAUUUUAUGUAGAGAGACAGCUUCGAACCCGUGACCUCAGAUCCCAUGGUAAAUGGUUUUACCGCAUUCGAUAUUCGGUAAAAAAGCUCAAUCACUCAUUACUAAAACGAGAAAUGCGAUAUAUUCGAUCA